AUACUUACAUGGCAGGGGAGUUACCGUGAUCACAAAAGUGGUUUUCUUAGGGUGAGGCUCAUCCUUUGCACUCUGAAUGUGUUGACCUCUGUAAUUUCCCCAAACGUAGGAAACUUGACCGCAUGAUUUGUGGCAGCAGGACACUGCAAUCGGACUUCCCCCUG
Molecule: small nuclear RNA, 164 nt
Organism: Ailuropoda melanoleuca (giant panda)
Lineage: Eukaryota; Metazoa; Chordata; Mammalia; Carnivora; Ursidae
Gene: U1
Rfam family: U1 spliceosomal RNA
About the family: U1 is a small nuclear RNA (snRNA) component of the spliceosome (involved in pre-mRNA splicing).
Source: Ensembl